GCCUAGCCGUAAACAAUUAACUUACACUAAUAAACGCCAGGGAACUACGAGCUAUGCUUAAAACCCAAAGGACUUGACGGUGUCCCAUACCCACUAGAGGAGCCUGUUCUAUAAUCGAUGAUCCCCGCUAUACCUAACCAUCCCUUGCUUUAUCAGCCUGUAUACCUCCGUCAUAAGCCUACCAUGUGAACGUCAACAGUGGGCCUAAUGGUUAUUAUAAACCAACAUGCCAGGUCAAGGUGCAGCUCACGGAAUGGUAAGUAAUGGGCUACAAUUUCUAAUCUAGAACAAACGGAAGGUUAUGUGAAAUCAUAACAUAAAGGUGGAUUUAGUAGUAAAAAGAAAAUAGAGUGUUCUUUUUAACCCGGCCCUGGGACACGUACACACCGCCCGUCACCCUCUUCAAUAGCUCUCACUUUCUAUAUAUAAUAGCAUAUUUGCGUUUUAGAAGAGGCAAGUCGUAACAUGGUAAGUGUACUGGAAAGUGCACUUGGUUAACAACAUAUAGCUUAA
This 513-nucleotide ribosomal RNA is filed under the name Amolops wuyiensis (Sanchiang sucker frog). RNAcentral's name for it is "partial 12S ribosomal RNA". It matches the Rfam family "Bacterial small subunit ribosomal RNA", at positions 794 to 1533 of the family's 1533-position model. The record is from RNAcentral. Lineage: Eukaryota; Metazoa; Chordata; Amphibia; Anura; Ranidae.